AUCUACAGCCACACCUCCCUGAUCUCUUCUGAUCUCAGAAGCUAAGCAGGGUCGGGGCUGGUUAGUACUUGGAAGGGAGGAUAAUCCACAUACUGUUC
RNAcentral lists this ribosomal RNA (98 nucleotides) under Octodon degus (degu). The record is from RNAcentral. Lineage: Eukaryota; Metazoa; Chordata; Mammalia; Rodentia; Octodontidae.